RNAcentral lists this ribosomal RNA (402 nucleotides) under Verrucomicrobiota bacterium. Its description in RNAcentral is "Verrucomicrobia bacterium partial 16S ribosomal RNA". It matches the Rfam family "Bacterial small subunit ribosomal RNA", at positions 355 to 776 of the family's 1533-position model. Lineage: Bacteria; Pseudomonadati; Verrucomicrobiota. The record is from RNAcentral.
UGGGGAAUUUUGCACAAUGGGGGAAACCCUGAUGCAGCGACGCCGCGUGAUUUAGAAGGCCUUCGGGUUGUAAAAAUCUUUUUUAUGGGAUGAAAAUGACAGUACCAUAAGAAUAAGGUCCGGCUAAAUACGUGCCAGCAGCCGCGGUAAUACGUAUGGACCGAGCGUUGUCCGGAAUCAUUGGGCGUAAAGGGUACGUAGGCGGCCCAGUAAGUUAGAAGUGAAAUAAUAUAGCUCAACUAUAUAAAGCUUUUAAAACUGCUAGGCUUGAGAGAUGGAAGGGAAAGGGGAAUUCCUAGUGUAGCGGUGAAAUGCGCAGAUAUUAGGAAGAAUACCGGUGGCGAAGGCGACUUUCUGGGCAUCAUCUGACGCUGAGGUACGAAAGCGUGGGUAGCAAACAGG